RNAcentral lists this long non-coding RNA (331 nucleotides) under Oryza brachyantha (malo sina). Its description in RNAcentral is "long non-coding RNA (OBRA_LNC003246)". Lineage: Eukaryota; Viridiplantae; Streptophyta; Magnoliopsida; Poales; Poaceae. The record is from RNAcentral.
UCUGGUGCUAGCUUCCGGUUGAAGGAAAUUGUGGGGGGACAAACUCUUAGAAAGACAAUAACAAGAAAGCUAGCAAUAAUUUGAUCAUGUUUUUAUGGUUUGUACUGAUUGCAAAUAAGGAAAAAACAAGAAGAGUAAAAUGAGCUACGAAAAAGAAAUUCCAAGCCCAUACAAACUAUAAGUCAGCAUUUGUUUGAGCUAAAUAGCCACCCACGAAACAAGCCUCAAAUUUCCUUGUGCACCACACAAGUGUCACACCACACAGGUCGGAACCCUCGUGACAAAGUUUUACACACAAAAAAAAACACUUUUUUUACAAACUACUAAGCUC